UGUGUUGUAAUAACUUAAUACUCUGAUGUGGUGCCGCUUCGACGGCAAUGAAUGACUAUGUAACAAUCGUUGUGUUUAUGUUGAACUAUUACGAUCUUGGUUUGUUGCGAGUUGGUUUGAAGUCCUUCGUGAUUUCGAUUGACUACCGGGAUUAUAUGGGCUCAAGUCUAGAAACUUGAUUGCUUGACGAUCGUUUCUGCACUUGAACUCUUAUAAUUUGGUCGGUUCUGUGACAGCCUAUGAUCUAUGUCAUAUACCAUAGCAUAAGAACUAUACUCUAGUUCAUAUGAAGAACUAUAUCAGACAUGAUAAGGCAUGGACUUGGAGUAAAGAUAUUCUUUAUUCAUACCCAAGUUUCUCUCCAAGGAGCUAAGGCCUCCUUGAUAGCUCACCCAACUCUCUCUCUAAAAGCUAAAAGGAAAAACUAAGAAGAGGUAGUGCCCAAGUGCCUUGAAGGUGGAGUGUUGAUUGUGAAUGUGAUGAGAUGAUUGGAGCCUCCCUCUCCCCCUCCUUAAAUAGGUGGGGAAGGUCGGUUCCCCAGGGUGUAAACUACAAUUUGCACGCGGGGACUGCGGGAGGAUAGGCUCAGCACCGCCUCUGCGAAAGGCGGUGCCGAGAUGGGCUGGGUCAGGGUCGGCCGACCCUAGGGGGCGGCUGCCCCCUGGUGGGCCCCGCUGGCCCCGGCCCGAAGCCCGUUGCCUUCCUCUCGGGCCCCUGAGUCUAGAUCCACCUGCAAAUUGAUGCACUUCUAUAUUGGGCUUUUGGGUACUUGUUUAUUUGCGCAUUUUUGACGUGUCGGAUUGUGCCUUUUUAUUUGCUUUCCACCUGUAUGCCUGUAUAUGAUCUGCAAAACACAACUUGCACUACAUGUGGAACUUGGUAAGCAUUUAAUAAGUAUAUGUGAGUAAAAUACAUGCUUUUCUUCCUUUGCAUGGACUAUGUUGGCGGGGUAAAUAUGUCAUUAAGAACCGCCAACAAACUCCCCGAAGCUUACCCCUUGCUCGUCCUCGAGCAAGAAGCUAAGAUCUUGGUUGUUGAUCAGGAGUUGCUACAAUAUUUUCACUUCUAUCUAGUACAAACCUUCAAACAAGAAUUCUCCUUUGAAUUUUGAACAGAUGUGUCAUGGGGCUUAUUGCUCAUACCUCGAGUUCUUAAGCAUUUGCAGCAUGGAUUUGAUCAGAUCGAGCACUAUAUCCCUAGUUCUUUACUUCACUUUUGUUCCGGAGUCUUUUUAAUUUUCAAAACUUAGCACAUUUAUUUGUCAAAUUAAACAAUGGAUCCAAAGUGAAAGUUAAUCAUACCAUUGAAUUUUUGAAAACUUUUUCUUUUCCAUCAUUCUCUUUUUGUCUAUUAGAGACACAUGGCUAUGUAGCUAAUUCUACUGUUGGGCACUUGCCCAUUUUUUUUUAUUUUUUCGAGGUUCCGGACACAUGUCCCUUUUUAUUUCCUCGUGAUCUUUCUUUUUGAGGUUUCGGACACAUGUCCCUUUUUAUUUCCUCGGAUGCUUUUUUUUCUUUUUCAUAGUCAUAUGCCUUCUAACAAACUUUUGAGAUGAUAACAUAAUGAAAUAUUUUUGUUUUCAAUUGUAUGACAACCUCUCAAAGGGUCAACAAAGCUUAAUCUAACUCAAUGUGAUUAUUUUAUUUUUGUAAAAACUCCAGAACUCUAGCGUUGUUUAGAACAGGAUACUAGCAGCUCAGAUCAUCACAAAUAUAUCCAUUAAUUACUUUAGACUUUAGAUAGAGCAUUUUGCAACCCACGCAUUUAAUCAUUUUAUUAAUUUGGAGAAUUCAAGGUUGAAACAAGAUACUGGAAAGAAAUUACGAUAGAGCAACUAUUCAUCAUUUCAACAAGGAAGAAGCAUAUAUCUUACAUCACAUAUAAGAGUGGAAUUAUAUUUUUGUCUUUUUAGCAUUUUUCAUUUUUUUAUAUGCAAUAAUUAAAACAUGAAUUUAACUAAUGGAAAUUUCAUAAAGUAAACAUGCUAAUUUAAAAUUAAGGAUGCAUGAAAAUAAAUAUGCAAUGCAGAUAACCUCGAGAUUGGGGGUCCUCCCCCAAGCUAGCUUCUGGCCUACUGAUCGAGGUUGUACCCCAUGUACCGCCAGAAGUCUUGGGACUGUUUCAGCAGCUGAUCUUAGCGAGCUUGCAUUUCUUCUUGCUGCUGCUGGUGUCAGGCCUGUUGUUGCUGUUGCCAUAGCAACCCUUGCUCGUGCCACUCCACGGCCUGCUGGUGGUGCGCAUCGGUGGUUUGGAUGUGUUGUUGGACAGUAUCCUGGAUCUCAUCCGUGCACACCACCAGUCCCUCAAGCUGAGCUUGGAGGCGCUCCAAGUCGGUUCGGCCUACUGUGGAGGCCGAAGGAUGUUCUUCUGGUGAUUCGGCCCUCCAGCGCGAUUGUUGUUCCCAAGCGCUGGAAUCCGCCUCAGCCCACCCCUCAACACCUUGUGUCGGCAUGGGUGUGUCCCACCCUGACUGGUAGAUCGGCUGUGUAUAGGAGGGUGGUGGCUGGGAGCUGGAUCCGCCGAUGUCCCUGCCAGAAACACUACGCCUUCGCGCAGUUUCAGCUAUUUGCAGAUCAAAGGUUAGUCUCCCAGAGUUAUACAAGCGUAGACCCGGGUUAGGUAACCGGAUUACGUUUGUAUACCCUGGGAAAUAAAACACAAGACCGCCCGCAUUAUAUCUUUUCAAAUGGUGACCUUGGAUAAGAUAGGUUUCAUUAAUCAUGGUGCGUGGAAUUUGAAUAUAAUCAAGAUCUUGCCCUUCCAACGCACCAAUGGCAGUGGCCACACGUGUUAUGAGUGAAGUCAAAGAGAUAGGGGUGGUUGUCUUGAUUAUAUCUAACCAAUGCCUUACAAUUUCUUGCAUAGGCGCAACUUUUAUUCUAGCCGCGUAAAGUAACCUCAUUUCAUUUACUCGCACAACGCGGGUAUCCUGGCUAGGAAACAUUGUUAUGGAUAGCCAAAGGUGUAAAAACCUUAGAGUGGGGUGUUGGAUGUGGGCAUUUCUAGGAUAGUAUUUUCUAGUGUGAACUUGCCCCGUGAUUUCUUCCCAAAACUUAUCCUUAUUAAACCCUUUUGUGGCAUGCACUAAAUCAAGAGAGCAUCUUUGAUGAAAACCAAGGUAUUUGCUUAAGUCUUUCCAAAAGAUAGCAUAUUCAUUUCCAAAUAAACGAACAGAAAUACCUUCAUAUGUUUCUCUUAAAGUGCAUAGGAAUUGAAUGGUAAGGGUAUAGGAUCCAUACUCAGUUAUGGGGUGAAUGUUGUCCCACCCGGCGGCUUUCCAUAUGGAGAGGAAUUCAGAGUCCAUACCGAUGUCGGAGAGGAGCGAGUCGUCGUAGACCGGCGUAUGGAGGAAGAUCCAGUCCUUGAGCUUGUUGUAGGCUUGAUGUUCUCGAUCACCCACCAAGUCGAAUUGGUGGGCUCCUCCUUCUUCAUGUUGUUCCUCCUCUUGAUCCUCUUCCUCUUCCUCUACCUCCUCGAUCUCCGGGGAUUCUUCCUCAGCGGAAGGACUCCAUCGGGGAUCGAUGGAGUAUGAGGAAGUGCUCCGAUAGGGGCGCUUCGAGGAUGACCUCGUGACUCUUUUAAACGCCCCCAAAACUGUUUUGCCGAACCUUUUCAUGGUGCAAUGCUUGCACCAGUGGAUAGCUAGCUUGGAUAGGUGAUUUUUUUGUGAGGUUUCUGCUGGUGGUUGGUUGGAAAUAGCAAAGACGUGAAAGUGUUGCUUGGAGAGUGAAGAUGGAAGUGAUGAAGUGAGAAUGGGUGGAGAGGGCCACACCCGAACCCCUGGUAUUUAUAGUUUGAAAAUGCAGGUGGAUUCAGGGUGAGGGCAACGGCUAGGAGCCUCCCCCAGCUGGUCGUUGGCCAGAGCCGUUGGGGGGGGGUCGGCGGACCCUAGGGGCGGCCACCCCCUAGUGGGCCCCGCUGCUCCCCAGCUUUUGUCUCCAUCUUCCAACGGCUAGUUUUUGAAGUUUUCCAUUGGCAUAUUGAUGCACUUCCAGCUGAAAAAAUGACUUUUGCAAUUUCCAACAUUUAUUCGUAAAAUUUUUAUUUUCGAAAAAUUUAGAAAAAAUAUUUUUCUAUUAUUUUAUUUUAUUUCCUAGCUGAAAAUGAAUUUUUGAAUAUUUUUCAAUUUAUAUAUAUAUAUUUAAGAUAACUACCGAUUACCUUCGGCGGAGGCUCAAAAAAAUGUUUAUAGUCCUUUCUGAGAAGGACUCUCUUCCGUCGUUUGAAUUUCACCCUGCAUGGUUAGUGGGAGAGUUCUCGGGUUGCCCCGGGAGUCUACCCGCAUUCUCAGUAGGAAUUGCAGCGACGAUCUGAGCUAGUUGUGUUUCUAUCAUUUUAUUAAAGCUCAGUUGGUUUUGUACAGAAGAGGCAAGGUUUUCUAUUUUUGUAUUUAUGUUUUCUAAAUCCUUAUCAUUGGACAUCAACUUUUUAGUUAAGUUUUCAUUUAUUUUAGGUUGUCCAAGAACUAGGUCUUUUAAUGAAGGUUGAUUCGAAUUAAAACUCGAAUUACCUUGGAAUGAAGUGCGUGACUGAUUAUUCCAACCAUUACCUUGGUUGGCGCCUCCUUGUUGGAGGUACCCGUUGUUGAUGUAGGCAGCGUCUUCACGGGUUUCGGGGCAAUCAUUCCCCGAAUGGCCAACUUCUGCACAGACCUCGCACGUCAUGUGUGAGUCUAUGGCCUUCACCGAGUUCGAGGGGUUCUCUUGGUUCCUCUCGGUGAGUUGCUUCAUCAAUAAAUCUAUUUUUGCGGCAAGCAUAUCCGUCUCCUUCACGGUAUGCAUGCCUUUUUGUGUUUUGGCAGCUGGUGGUUGAGUUCUGUCCUCCCCCCAGCUCUGGUGUUCUACCAUCUUCUCGAUCAGGGCCUUGGCCACGGCGGUAGUAAGUGAUAGGAACGCGCCUCCAGCGGCGGCGUCUAGGUGUCCCUUCGACAUGGGUGUGAGCCCAUUGUAGAAGUUCUGGAGCACCAUCCAGUUCUCCAUGCCGUGAUGGGGGCAGCUUAGUAUGUACUCUUGUAGCCGCUCCCAUGCUUCAGGGAUCGUUUCACUGGCAUUUUGUUGAAAACUGGCAAUUCUUCCCCUUAAAGCAUUGGUUUUGCUUAUGGGGAAGAACUUGGCGAGGAAUGCCGUGGAGCAUUUUGCCCACGUGGUGACAGCUUCCUUAUCUUGAUAGAACCACCUCUUCACCUUCCCCACGAGGGAGAAAGGAAAGAGGCGGAGCCGAAUGACAUCAGGAGUGAUGUCCUUGAUGACAAUCGUUAGCUCCAGGAAGUGUUGAAGGUGUGCAUUCGCAUCCUCGCUUGGCAAGCCACAGAAUGGGCUCGCCUGCACCAUGUUGAUCAGGCCGGUGCGUAGCUCGAAGUUCUUGCCGGCCGUGUCAACAGCGAGGCCAGUGGCCACGUUGGUGACAGCGGGCACGGAGAACUUGCGGAGUGUCUUCUCGGCGGCCAUGAGUUUGUUCGGGGUUGGUGCGGUACCGGCUGGUUCACUUGUCGGUGGAGUAGCAGAAGACGAAACGGUUCGAGACCGUCUAGUCCUUAGGAGUGCCUCGGGAUCGGAGAUGUAGUUUUCCGGCAAAGAGAAACCAAGCAUACACUAUUCCUCCUGUUUCAUCCACAACAGGGAGAAAACAGGCAGAGUUUGCCUGCAUAACAAUUGACUCAUUACGCACAUCAGAUUACUUGAUUAUAUUUAUCUAGAAUCAUUUUCAUAUUAGCCUUCCCUGGCAACGACGCCAGAAAUGCUUGUUGGCAUUUCUUAACGUCAUCACUAAGAACAGGGUUUAAUCUGUCCUCAGCAACGAUGUCAGAAAUGUCAUGAUAACACUUACUAAUGCAAUCACCAAGAUUAGAGUAUAAAUCUAUCGUAAGCAACAGUGCCAGAAAUGCUUGUUAGCGUUUCUUAGCGUCGCUACCUAGAAUAGGGUUCUGCUCUACUCAUGAUAAUGACAUUGGCAAUGUUAUAUUGGCUGAUCCGUAGCAUCACCACCUUGAAUAGGAAGCUAGAUCUACCUUCCCGAUAACGGCGCCUUAUUACCGUUAGGGUAGGGUUCGAGUUCUUAAUCAUGGUAGUGGCACUAGGAUUGCCAUGUUGGUAUUCCUUAACAAGUCACUAGCUCGGCACAUGUCUAGCAACAGUGUUAAGUAUAUACCGGGGUGAUAGUUCCUUAGGUUUGGAGUUUAAGUACCGCAAGCGGACGGGAAUUAUCGUGUAGCAUUUCAACUCGGGGAUUUACCGAGUGUCAUAUUUAUAGGUUCACUCUAAGGAAGGCUUAAUAUGUUAAGGAUUCUAAGAUAAGCAUAGAUCAAAGUAAUUAUGAUAGCAAUAAUGGAAUCAAGGGUCAUAGCAGGUGAUAAACAUUUAUAUGUAGAAUAGUGAUCCAUCACAAUCUAGGCAUGACAUAUGGGCUAAGGAAUAAAAAGAGACUAAAAGAAUGAAUUGAAUCAAAGAGUAAACAAACAACCUAUUGGAGCAGGAGUUGUCCAAGAUACAGAUCAUGUCAUAGAACCAGUUAAUCAUGUAAUUAUACUACUUAGAUCUAGUCCUGUGUUUAGAUGGUUUGGGAGGUUACGCGAGUACUGGUCUGCCAGCAAUCUCCGCAACUAUUUAGACUCCUACACCCUAGCCGAACGUGGGGGAAUGCCAAGGACGGACAGGGCUGUCACUACCUGCCGCCAUCCCCUCAACCGUGGACUAGGACAAUGCAUUUACCCAGCCUUUAUACCCAAGCACCAUUCUUACAUGCAAAGAACCUACUCGGACUCCCCCGGGUCCCCGACCCUACGGAUCGACAGGUAAGAAGCCCGAGCCUACUCAAAAGAGCAUGAUAAACCCCCAUCUUCACACAAAGCUAUUUCUAGGCAAUUAAUUAACAUGAAGCAAUUAGACUAAAGUCCUAAGUGAGAAUAAUACAACAUACACUUAGCACUAGUUCAUAUAAUACACUACUAGCCCUAGGGUAGCAUUAUACUAUAAGAACUAUAUACUAAAAUGUAUGUCAUAUCAUUUUCACUAGAACUAUAUUCUAGUUCAUAUGCUAGCAUCAUAAAAGAGGGCCUAUGAUCUAUGUCAUAUACCAUAGCAUAAGAACUAUACUCUAGUUCAUAUGAAGAACUAUAUCGGACAUGAUAAGGCAUGGACUUGGAGUAAAGAUAUUCUUUAUUCAUACCCAAGUUUCUCUCCAAGGAGCCAAGCCCUCCUUGAUAGCUCACCCAACUCUCUCUCUAAAAGCUAAAAGGAAAAACUAAGAAGAGGUAGUGCCCAAGUGCCUUGAAGGUGGAGUGUUGAUUGUGAAUGUGAUGAGAUGAUUGGAGCCUCCCUCUCCCCCUCCUUAAAUAGGUGGGGAAGGUCGGUUCCCCAGGGUGUAAACUGCAAUUUGCACGCGGGAACUGCGGGAGGAUAGGCUCAGCACCGCCUCUGCGAAAGGCGGUGCCGAGAUGGGCUGGGUCAGGGUCGGCCGACCCUAGGGGGCGGCUGCCCCCUGGUGGGCCCCGCUGGCCCCGGCCCGAAGCCCAUUGCCUUCCUCUUGGUCCCUUGAGUCGAGAUCCACAUGGAAAUUGAUGCACUUCUAUAUUGGGCUUUUGGGUACUUGUUUAUUUGCGCAUUUUUUGACGUGUCGGAUUGUGCCUUUUUAUUUGCUUUCCACCUGUAUGCCUGUAUAUGAUCUGCAAAACACAACUUGCACUACAUGUGGAACUUGGUAAGCAUUUAAUAAGUAUAUGUGAGUAAAAUACAUGCUUUUCUUCCUUUGCAUG
RNAcentral lists this long non-coding RNA (7750 nucleotides) under Sorghum bicolor (sorghum). Its description in RNAcentral is "long non-coding RNA (SBIC_LNC006504)". The stretch from base 4978 to 5086 matches the Rfam family "Plant small nucleolar RNA R71". The record is from RNAcentral. Lineage: Eukaryota; Viridiplantae; Streptophyta; Magnoliopsida; Poales; Poaceae.